Molecule: ribosomal RNA, 510 nt
Filed under: uncultured bacterium
Lineage: Bacteria
Description: partial 16S ribosomal RNA
Rfam family: Bacterial small subunit ribosomal RNA
Source: RNAcentral
GACGAACGCUGGCGGCGUGCUUAACACAUGCAAGUCGAACGAAGAGCGAUGGAAGCUUGCUUCUAUCAAUCUUAGUGGCGAACGGGUGAGUAACGCGUAAUCAACCUGCCCUUCAGAGGGGGACAACAGUUGGAAACGACUGCUAAUACCGCAUACGAUCUAACCUCGGCAUCGAGGAUAGAUGAAAGGUGGCCUCUACAUGUAAGCUAUCACUGAAGGAGGGGAUUGCGUCUGAUUAGCUAGCUGGAGGGGUAACGGCCCACCAAGGCGAUGAUCAGUAGCCGGUCUGAGAGGAUGGACGGCCCCAUUGGGACUGGGACACGGCCCAGACUCCUACGGGAGGCAGCAGUGGGGAAUCUUCCGCAAUGGACGAAAGUCUGACGGAGCAACGCCGCGUGAGUGAUGACGGCCUUCGGGUUGUAAAGCUCUGUUAAUCGGGACGAAAGGCCUUCUUGCGAAUAGUUAGAAGGAUUGACGGUACCGGAAUAGAAAGCCACGGCUAACUACGUG